AGUGAACGCUGGCGGUAGGCCUAACACAUGCAAGUCGAACGGCAGCACAGGAGAGCUUGCUCUCUGGGUGGCGAGUGGCGGACGGGUGAGGAAUACAUCGGAAUCUACUCUGUCGUGGGGGAUAACGUAGGGAAACUUACGCUAAUACCGCAUACGACCUACGGGUGAAAGCAGGGGAUCUUCGGACCUUGCGCGAUUGAAUGAGCCGAUGUCGGAUUAGCUAGUUGGCGGGGUAAAGGCCCACCAAGGCGACGAUCCGUAGCUGGUCUGAGAGGAUGAUCAGCCAAAAUGGAACUGAGACACGGUCCAGACUCCUACGGGAGGCAGCAGUGGGGAAUAUUGGACAAUGGGCGCAAGCCUGAUCCAGCCAUACCGCGUGGGUGAAGAAGGACUUCGGGUUGUAAAGCCCUUUUGUUGGGAAGGAAAUCCAGCUGGCUAAUACCCGGUUGGGAUGACGGUACCCAAAGAAUAAGCACCGGCUAACUUCGUGCCAGCCGCCGCAGUAA
Molecule: ribosomal RNA, 506 nt
Filed under: uncultured bacterium
Lineage: Bacteria
Description: partial 16S ribosomal RNA
Rfam family: Bacterial small subunit ribosomal RNA
Source: RNAcentral